Molecule: ribosomal RNA, 440 nt
Filed under: uncultured bacterium
Lineage: Bacteria
Description: bacterial SSU rRNA
Rfam family: Bacterial small subunit ribosomal RNA
Source: RNAcentral
GAUGAACGCUGGCGGCGUGCUUAACACAUGCAAGUCGAACGGGAUCCAUCGGGCUUUGCUUGGUGGUGAGAGUGGCGAACGGGUGAGUAAUGCGUGACCGACCUGCCCCAUGCUCCGGAAUAGCUCCUGGAAACGGGUGGUAAUGCCGGAUGUUCCACAUGAUCGCAUGUGAUUGUGGGAAAGAUUCUAUCGGCGUGGGAUGGGGUCGCGUCCUAUCAGCUUGUUGGUGAGGUAACGGCUCACCAAGGCUUCGACGGGUAGCCGGCCUGAGAGGGCGACCGGCCACAUUGGGACUGAGAUACGGCCCAGACUCCUACGGGAGGCAGCAGUGGGGAAUAUUGCACAAUGGGCGCAAGCCUGAUGCAGCGACGCCGCGUGAGGGAUGGAGGCCUUCGGGUUGUAAACCUCUUUUGUUUGGGAGCAAGCCUUCGGGUGAGUGU